This 4372-nucleotide long non-coding RNA is filed under the name Anolis carolinensis (green anole). RNAcentral describes it as "lncRNA (ENSACAG00000040168.1)". The record is from RNAcentral. Lineage: Eukaryota; Metazoa; Chordata; Lepidosauria; Squamata; Anolidae.
UGCUUGCCACAUGACCUAGGAGACGUCUAUGGACAACGCCAGCUCUUCAGCUUAGAAAUGGAGAUGAGCACCAACCCCCAGAGUCAGACUCGACUAGACUUAAUAUCAGGGAAAAUCCUUUACCUAUACCUUAGGUCAAAACCAGCACUUUGAAUUACGGUAUUCUCAGAAUUGUUCUAUUGGAUUAAUCAUUUGAUUUUGGCUAGUGCAUACAAAAUAUGGCUCAUUUGAAAAAGGAGAAGAAAAAGAUGGCCCUGAAGGUGGACGAAGUACAUUAGACAUUGUCCCACAGUGUUCAGAGCUUCAGUUGUUUGGUGCCUUGAAAUCACAUAUGCUGUGAUGACUCAUGGGCCAUGUAGUCCCGUUCCCGGCACUGUUGAGACAGAUGAAGAUGAAAACUUAGGUUUCCCACCGUUUCAGCCAGAAUUGGAGCUUUUUCAGCCAGAAUUGGAGCCCUUGCACCUGCAGGAGAUUUGCCUUCCAGAAGUCUGCCAAACAAGCCUUGAGCCGAAAUCUCCCCCAUUUUCUCGCCAUGAUUAUUAUAAACAACAGAAAGGCGCUCAGGAGGCGUCUCGCAGGAGCGCUAGGAUCGCUGCCAGGCAUUCAGCUGAUUAAGCCUGCUUCCCAUGGGAAACUUUAGGGAGUCAUGCAUCUGGACACAGAGAAUGGCUUUCGGGUUCUGGUUCCCCAGAGAAUUGUUCUUUGGCGGGAAAACGAGACCCUAUUUAGGUGUUUUGCCCACGUAGGAACCUUGCGGAGUCAAUUCGUCAGCUUCGGGAGUAGGUUGUGUGUGGACUACGCUACUCCCGCGUCCAAGCCCUUGUUCCCGUUUCCAGCCUUGCCUUGCUUCCCAGGACCUUGUCUUGCUCCACGGACCUUGCCUUGCUUCCCGGACCUCGCCACGAAUUUACCACGGAUCCUGUUCUGCUUCCCAGGACCUUGUCUUGCUCCACGGACCUUGCCUUGCUUCCCGGACCUCGCCACGAAUUUACCACGGAUCCUGUUCUUGCUCCUCGUUUCUUGUUGCCUUGAAUUAAGCCUAGUGUUCCAAGAAUCAAGUUUACUUCCUAGCCUUGCUUAAGUUUCAUGGACUAAAGGACCUUGUCAUCUCCCCUCACUUUGCUUGGCAAAGUGAGUGUUUCGGUUACUGGAUUACAACUUUGGACCUUAAUAUUUCAUAUUGGACAUUGUUUCUUUGGACUAAUUUUGACCUUUCCUGAAAGGUCUACUUCUGGACUAUUUUCUACACUUGUUUUUAUUAACUUUAUAUACUCCUACAAUAAAGAUAUUAGAUAGAUUCUGGCCUCUGUGUAUGGUUAUUGGUGCUCUGCAGCCUGGGUCUUGACAUAUGCAAACAUAUAUUCCAAUGAGGCUCAUCUGAACUUCCUUUGUGGUUCUCAGGCAUAGUGAUGCCAUGGAUUCUGUGUCUGGUUUCAGAAAAGCCACUUUCUUAUAAGGAGAGAUAAAAAUAAGCCAGCAAUCAUAAAGUUCCUUUUUCAUGCGCUUUUCCAAUAUAAAGUCUUUACAUGUAGACAGGAGGAGAUUCCCAUGUGAAUUUGGUAUGACAUGUGGCCUUAAAAACAUAUUGAAGAAUCUGCUACCCAGCUCUCUGCCCCAAAUAGCUUACAGCCCAACAAGAACAGUGAAGCUGAAAAAUACCAGCAAAGUAGUUAGUCUUCUUAGCCUAGCUUUGUAUUUUGACUGUUUUAAUAGUACUGUAAUAUGAGCUGAAUCAAAGGAUUAUCAAGUAAGAGCAACGGGUGGGUGGUUCAUGGUGGCCUGCAAUCUACAAAUCAGAGGAAUGUUGCUGCGUAAGGAGCAAAUGGAUGAAGAAAAAGGGUUGAAAAUCAAAUUGCAUAAUUGGAAAAGAAUGGGAAAUUUGGCUCAGAGUGUGAACUACAAAGAUAUCUACUGUGAAUGGGCAUGGGACCUACUGCAAAUUGUUGCAUUAGUACAUUUCUGGGGCCUUAGCCCCUUUUCUGGGGAAAAGGAAACUGGUUCUGGGUUGUUGUGAGUUUGUCGGACUGCAUGGUCAUGUUCCAGAAGCAUUCUCUCCUAACGCUUCACCCACAUCUAUGAUAGGCAUCCUCAGAGGUUGUGAGGUAUACAGUAGAAGCUACAGAGAUCCCCUUCUUUCACACUUGCCUCCAACAGGCAAGAGUUCUUUCUCCCACCCUGGACCUUCCACAGAUAUAUAAACCUCCCUUGUCUAGUUUCCAAUAUACCUCACAACCUCUGAGGAUGUCUGCCAUAGAUGUGGGCGAAACAUCAGAAGAGAAUGCUUCUGAAACAUGGCCAUACAGCCCAGAAAACUCACAGCAGCCCAGUGAUUCCGGCCAUGAACAACACAUAAAACUGGUUCUAUUAAGAUUAGGGUGCAUCUAUACUGUAAAAUUAAUGCAGUUUAACAUCACUUUAACUGCCAUGGUUUAAUGCUAUGGAAUCAUGGGAACUGUAGUUUGGAAAGGCACCAGCAUUCUUUGUCAAAGAGAACUAAAAGUACAACUCCUUUGAUUCCAUAGCAUUGAUCCAUGGCAAUUAAAGUAGUGUCAAACUCCAUUAAUUCUACAGUGUAGAUGUGCUGUAAGGCACUACUAUGGGAAACUUGGAACUAAAACUGCAACUAAAUACUUUUGUAAAUUAAUUGGCUGAGCUCUGUAGGGGCACAUAUAUAAAGCAAAUAUAAUCCCCAUGCUUGGUUAUUCUGUGUAUUGGGGUAGGCUGAGGAGUGGAUGAUCAGCUGAUAUCAAGGACAUUAGUUUAUCUAUCCUGAAAACUGCAUGCAGAGGACUGUAGUUGACCAUGGAAAACAUUCUGAAUUAUAGCCUCCAAGUCAAUUUUCAUUUAACACAUUGCGAAGUCCAAACUGUUGACUUUAAUGGGAUUUAUUCAUACAUGUCUUAGCUCUAGGGUCCGGGUCUACAUUUGCAAGAUGCUGAUUACACCAGCUUCACCCUGUUCAUUCCUACAGGGUUGAAGUGAAUGUUACUCAGAGCCAGAUUAAUCUUUUUCUACCACAACAUUAAAGAAUGCAUGUGCCCUCCUUAGCCAUUUUGACGCUAAAGAAUAAGGACUUUUAAAUCCUGUCUUUGGGGAGGAGGGAAUGCUCACUCCCCCUGGAAUUUCACCUUCAUUUGAACCAGGGGUGUUGAAAGAAAAGCACUUCAAUGUAUUGUUCACUGACUCCACCCAUUCAAUUCCUUAUCUAACCUGAGUCAUUACAGCCUGUAGCUUUGUAACUCUGGCAGCAGUAAACUUCAGCUUUUACCAGUUAAGAGCCUUACCUGUGUGACCCACCCUCUGUGGGUAUAUACCACCCCCUUAGCUAAAGGAGUUAGAGGUCAAGCCUUUUCUAGUCUUUAGCAACUCUUGCCUAGCUUGUCACGCUGAUAGGUAUCAAUGGAUUGACCUGCAACUGAUCCAUCCUACAAUGCACUUCUUUCCAAUAUUUAAGCCUGCUGCAAAUUCUAGUUUUAAUUAUCCAUUCCAGAUUAACCCCUCCUGUGCUGACCACCUGGAGGUGCAUUGGGUCUUUGCCUGAUGCUGAAGGAGAAAAAUGUUUUCCUGUCAAGGAACCUAAGAGCUGUGGUUUGUAGUGAGCUGAAAAAAUUACCAUUGUUCAGGGCAAUUUAGGAGUAGCAGUAAAACUGAAUCUUAAUAUAAUUUGCUCAAGCCCCUAACAGCUCAGGUCUCAAGUCUCUGAAGGACUGUCCCUUUCAUACAAGCUUUUCUGAGUCCUUGAAAUCAUUGGAAGACUUUAUUUUGGUUAUAGUACCAUCCACCAAGGCACAAUUAAUUAAAAUAUGUGAGAAAGCCUUAUCAGUGGCUGAUCCAAGGCUUUAGAAUUAACUUUGUAGGAAAACUGAACUGGUUCUUACUUUUGCUGCCCUAGAAGAUGAAGACUGUUUUAUUCCAACAGGAACUGAAGGAGCUGAUUCCUUGACAAGGAACGAGUUGUUGUAGUGUUUUACAAACUGUGUCUUUUGCUUUUUAUUAAAUAGGCUUUAAACUGUUUUAAAUCAAUAUGCAUUAAAUCUAUCAGCUGCCCCACCUUUCCUUAUUGCAGGAUUUGGCCAAUAAUUGACAGCUGGAGAAUGUGUUUAGCCCAGGUAGGAAGUUUGGGAUCUUAAAGGAUGCCAGAAGUCUUGAAUCAAUUUCCAGGGGUGGUAACUGUGUUUGUCUUUUGCUGCAAAAAUAGAAGAGUCAUGUGACACCUUAAAGACUAACACAGUUUAUUUAGCAUAAGAUUUCAAUAAUUCCACCCACUUUGUUGUUUGCAUGGAGUAUAGCCUUGGUUGUCAGGUUAUUAUAUGCAGGGUUGGGCAGAAGAGCAAAUGAGUGAAAGAUGUAAUCAAUUCAAUGAGAGGGAAUU